UGCGGGAAAGGUCAGGCACUGUGCAC
RNAcentral lists this non-coding RNA (26 nucleotides) under Homo sapiens (human). The record is from RNAcentral. Lineage: Eukaryota; Metazoa; Chordata; Mammalia; Primates; Hominidae.